ACGGUUUGGCAGAAAAUAAAUCUUUUCUCUGCAAUCGCCGAGACGCAUCCGCGAUCUCGGAACACCCUUGUCCACGAUGAUGAGUUGUGGGUUUCCGCUUGAGCGUGAAGCUGGUUUCGGUAACUGGGGCUUGCUCUAGACCGAAGCUCUGAUGACCGCCCUCAGGCAUUAUUAGUGCCCGAGGAAGGCGGAGACCCAGUCUGAGUGAC
This 209-nucleotide small nucleolar RNA is filed under the name Rhipicephalus microplus (southern cattle tick). Its description in RNAcentral is "small nucleolar RNA U3". It matches the Rfam family "Small nucleolar RNA U3". Rfam says of the family: Small nucleolar RNAs (snoRNAs) are involved in the processing and modification of rRNA in the nucleolus. The record is from Rfam by way of RNAcentral. Lineage: Eukaryota; Metazoa; Arthropoda; Arachnida; Ixodida; Ixodidae.